UGGCUCAGGAUGAACGCUAGCGACAGGCUUAACACAUGCAAGUCGAGGGGCAGCGGGGGUGAUGGCUUGCCAUCGCCUGCCGGCGACCGGCGCACGGGUGAGUAACACGUAUGCAACCUGCCCGCCACAGGGGGAUAAGCGGAAGAAAUUCCGUCUAAUACCGCGUGACGCGGCGCCGGGGCAUCCCGGUGCCGCCAAAGGGAUUACCGGUGGCGGAUGGGCAUGCGGCGCAUUAGCUAGUCGGCGGGGUAACGGCCCACCGAGGCGACGAUGCGUAGGGGUUCUGAGAGGAAGGUCCCCCACACUGGUACUGAGACACGGACCAGACUCCUACGGGAGGCAGCAGUGAGGAAUAUUGGUCAAUGGGCGCGAGCCUGAACCAGCCAAGUCGCGUGAGGGAUGACGGUCCUACGGAUUGUAAACCUCUUUUGCCGGGGAGCAAGCGUGCGUUCGUGAACGCGCGUCGAGAGUACCCGGAGAAAAAGCAUCGGCUAACUCCGUGCCAGCAGCCGCGGUAAUACGGAGGAUGCGAGCGUUAUCCGGAUUUAUUGGGUUUAAAGGGUGCGUAGGCGGGAUGCCAAGUCAGCGGUAAAAAUGCGGUGCUCAACGCCGUCGAGCCGUUGAAACUGGCGUUCUUGAGUGGGCGAGAAGUAUGCGGAAUGCGUGGUGUAGCGGUGAAAUGCAUAGAUAUCACGCAGAACUCCGAUUGCGAAGGCAGCAUACCGGCGCCCUACUGACGCUGAGGCACGAAAGCGUGGGUAUCGAACAGGAUUAGAUACCCUGGUAGUCCACGCAGUAAACGAUGAAUGCUAACUGUCCGGCUCGAAUGAGCGCUGGGCGGUACAGCGAAAGCGUUAAGCAUUCCACCUGGGGAGUACGCCGGCAACGGUGAAACUCAAAGGAAUUGACGGGGGCCCGCACAAGCGGAGGAACAUGUGGUUUAAUUCGAUGAUACGCGAGGAACCUUACCCGGGCUCAAACGCAGGAUGACGGGUCCCGAAAGGGGUCUUUCUUCGGACAUUCUGCGAGGUGCUGCAUGGUUGUCGUCAGCUCGUGCCGUGAGGUGUCGGCUUAAGUGCCAUAACGAGCGCAACCCCUGUCCACAGUUGCCAGCAGGUAAAGCUGGGGACUCUGUGGAGACUGCCGGCGCAAGCUGCGAGGAAGGCGGGGAUGACGUCAAAUCAGCACGGCCCUUACGUCCGGGGCGACACACGUGUUACAAUGGCAGGUACAGCGGGAUGCCACGGGGCGACCCGGCGCUGAACCCGAAAACCUGUCUCAGUUCGGAUUGGAGUCUGCAACCCGACUCCAUGAAGCUGGAUUCGCUAGUAAUCGCGCAUCAGCCACGGCGCGGUGAAUACGUUCCCGGGCCUUGUACACACCGCCCGUCAAGCCAUGGAAGCCGGGGGUACCUGAGUGCGUGACCGCGAGGAGCGCCCUAGGGUAAAACCGGUGACUGGGGCUAAGUCGUAACAAGGUAGCCGU
RNAcentral lists this ribosomal RNA (1485 nucleotides) under uncultured bacterium. Its description in RNAcentral is "16S ribosomal RNA". It matches the Rfam family "Bacterial small subunit ribosomal RNA". The record is from RNAcentral.